RNAcentral lists this ribosomal RNA (497 nucleotides) under uncultured bacterium. RNAcentral's name for it is "partial 16S ribosomal RNA". It matches the Rfam family "Bacterial small subunit ribosomal RNA", at positions 28 to 507 of the family's 1533-position model. The record is from RNAcentral.
GACGAACGCUGGCGGCGUGCCUAAUACAUGCAAGUCGAGCGAACAGAUGAGGAUCUUGCUCCUCUGACGUUAGCCGCGCACGGGUGAGUAACAUGUGUAUAACCUCCUUAUAAUCCUGGUAUAACCUCGGGAAACCGGAGCCUAUCCCGUAUAAUAUAUUGAACCGCAUGGUUCAAUAGUUAAAGACGGUUUUGCUGUCACUUAUAGAUGGAUCCGCGCCGCAUUAGUUAGUUGGUAAGGUAACGGCUUACUAAGGCAACGAUGCGUAGCCGACCUGAGAGGGUGAUCGGCCACACUGGAACUGAGACACGGUCCAGACUCCUACGGGAGGCAGCAGUAGGGAAUCUUCCGCAAUGGGCGAAAGCCUGACGGAGCAACGCCGCGUGAGUGAUGAAGGUCUUCGGAUCGUAAAACUCUGUUAUUAGGGAAGAACAAAUGUGUAAGUAACUAUGCACGUCUUGACGGUACCUAAUCAGAAAGCCACGGCUAACUACGUG